Non-coding RNA from Monodelphis domestica (gray short-tailed opossum), 746 nucleotides. NCBI's taxonomy places the organism in Eukaryota, Metazoa, Chordata, Mammalia, Didelphimorphia, Didelphidae. The record is from RefSeq and is a predicted model, not a curated record.
UAGUGAUUGUCUGCAAUCAGAUUUGAACUCUUUUUGGAACUCCAUCCACUGAGCCAUCUAGUGACCACACCCACCCACAGCCACCAAACACGUGGACACAUGGUUUAUGGGUGUGUACCAGUAUGACCUACACGUGAUUGCAGGAAGAUAGGUGCGGAUGUAUUCGGCAUUGUCCAAGUCACUGAAUCCAUCACUCUCUCGCCAUGCCCUGUUAGCUGGUGUUGGUCUCCUUUUAGGGAGUCAGAGAAAGUGUUCUAUCUUGAAAAGCUCCUGCUGUGUUAAGAAAAAAUGAACAUGACAGAGAUUGUCAUUUAGGUUUCAAAGGGCUCUGAUAAACUUUGAAUCUUUUUUUUUUUUUCCCUGUGAAAUUCAAAACAUGUGUGGCUAGCCACUGCUUGGACAGCUCCUACCAGUCUCCCAUCCAGGAUCCUGGAGCACAAACCCUCAGCCAUUUGGAGAAAUUAAAAGCUUCUAUGCUCACAAUACUCCUGGACAAAAGGAACUGAUACAGGAUAAAAUAAGCAGAACCAGGAAAAAUUGUACAAUGAUUAAAUGUGGAAACUUGCUUUUUCUCAACAAUGCAAUGAUCUGGGACAAUCCUGAAAGAACUGUUAGAGUUGGAUGAAUGUGGAUCAAACCAUACUAUUAUUCACAUCAGUGUACUUAUGGUUAUAUUUUGGAAUUUUUCUUCUGUCUUAGUGUGAUUUUACAACAAUGAGCAAUAUUGAAAUAUGCUUUGCAUGAUA